This is a long non-coding RNA of Sinocyclocheilus rhinocerous, 503 nucleotides long. RefSeq lists it as uncharacterized. The record is from RefSeq and is a predicted model, not a curated record. The transcript has 3 exons. Lineage: Eukaryota; Metazoa; Chordata; Actinopteri; Cypriniformes; Cyprinidae.
UAGCAUGUAAUAACGUUAAGUAAUUAGCAAACUUUUGACGGGACACGCAACUAGCUUGAAAGCAGAAAGACCUCCACAUCCUGCCCAUCAACCUCUGUCUGUCUUAAAGCAGAGGAUGUUGAGCGCCUGACACCCGUGGGCUCAGGGAAGAGAACCAGAGUCUCGGUGAAUAAGUGCCAUGUCUGUAGGAAAGAGUUUAAAACCACCAGUGCACUUAAAACACACUUCUUGAUCCACAGACAGGACGGGCCUCAAAUCUGUGGUGUCUGUCAGAAAGCAUUUAAACACCAUCAUCAGCUCACUUCCCACAUGAUGACCCACUACAAGAGGAAGACCUAUUACUGUACUCAGUCUGGCUGCCACAAAAUCUACAAUGACAAAAACUCCUUAAAACAUCACUGUGCCUCUCGACACGGAGUCUACCGUACGUCUCCUUCCUCCUCCAGCUAUGACCUGCCGGCCUCAGUGUGGGAGCCAACGGCUGUGUCCGACUAUCUCUUUAC